Molecule: ribosomal RNA, 399 nt
Filed under: Kryptoperidinium foliaceum
Lineage: Eukaryota; Dinophyceae; Peridiniales; Kryptoperidiniaceae
Description: partial Bacterial large subunit ribosomal RNA
Rfam family: Bacterial large subunit ribosomal RNA
Source: RNAcentral
GCGAAACCGUGUGAUCUACCCAUGGGCAGGUUGAAGCUGUGGUAACACACAGUGGAGGACCGAACCGGUUGACGUUGAAAAGUCUUCGGAUGACCUGUGGGUAGGGGUGAAAGGCCAAUCAAGCUCGGAAAUAGCUCGUACUCCCCGAAAUGCAUUUAGGUGCAGCGUUCUGAUAGUUAUAUAGAGGUAGAGCUACUGAUUGGAUGCGGGGGCUUCACCGCCUACCAAUUCCUGACAAACUCCGAAUGCUAUAUAAUGUUUCAGGGCAGUGAGGGCAUGGGUGCUAAGGUCCUUGUCCGAGAGGGAAAGAACCCAGAUCUGCAGCUAAGGUCCCAAAGUAUAUACUAAGUUGAACUAAGGCGGUUCAGUUGCCGAGACAGCCAGGAGGUUAGCUUGGAA